Panonychus citri (citrus red mite) is the source of this 1195-nucleotide long non-coding RNA. RefSeq lists it as uncharacterized. The record is from RefSeq and is a predicted model, not a curated record. NCBI's taxonomy places the organism in Eukaryota, Metazoa, Arthropoda, Arachnida, Trombidiformes, Tetranychidae. The transcript has 4 exons.
CUUAUUCUUAUUCUGACUCGUCUUCGCUUUUUUUUUCUCCAUUUUCUCUCUUUCUUAAAAUAUCUUCUCUUUUUUUUCUCUUCUCUUCUAUUCUACCUGUGCUUCUUUAUCAUCAUCAUCAUACAACAGGAACAUCAAGGGCAUCAUCAUCAUCAUCAUCUUCUUCUUCUUCAUGAUCCUCGUCGUUCUGUUGACUGAACAAUUCACAAUCCAACCUGGAAAUUUUCAUCUGUGUCUUUUCGUUACCUUUUCAUGGUUCCCUGAACUGGUAACAACCGGUAGUAAUAGUUGUUGUUAGAAAUGAUCAAGUUCAAGUGCUGGUAGUAAUUUUGGUGAUUCCUAUUGCUUUUGUUGUUGCUUUUAUAACACAACAGGUAGGAUAAAAAAGGCUUCAGAAUUCAUGUUAACAGAAGGAUAACAAAAGUGUGAUUUAUCCUGAGGUUUUCUUUUUCUUGCUUGUUAAUUGCUGAUGGUGUUCAGAUUUUCCCCAUCAUCGUAUUACCUGAACAUUUAAGAGAAACAUUUCCGAUUCAUGGUUAGAUGUUCCUAUUAUGUUCAGUCAUCAAUUUCUUUCUCUCUCUCUCUCUCUCUCUUUCUCUCUCACAAAGGUACAUAUUUAGUAGUAGGAUGAUGUCCAAUUACAGUUACUAAGGAUAGUUCAUGGAUAGAGAGCAUGAUGGUUUCAUUAUGAUAAUUAGACGUUUGUUGUUAUUACUCAAAUCGGCACAUGAAGAGAUUGUUAUGUAAUCUUGUUUAGUUGAAAAGCUUUUCCUUCCUAAGAAUUCAAGGAAUCAAAUCAAUACACUUGAGGAGAAUGUUGGCAAAUCCAUUAUAUUCAAUUUCUCUUGGUUGGUUGAUUGAUUGAUCGUCGAUACAGAUGAACCAGAUUAAUCUUCUUUCUUACAAUACAGUUAAUCACCUAAAGAAAAAAAAAGAUUUACAAUUAAACCUAAUCCAAAAUGGAAGAAGAGACAAAGAAAACAACGAUCAUUCCAAUAGAUUGCAUGAGAGAAAAACCUCCAAAAGGAAAGAGUUAAAAUACAAAAAGAAUACAAAUCAAUUCCAUCUAAUCAACACUGAAAACUAAUCAAUGAAUAUUUGAUAAUCAAAGAAAAACAAUAAUCACAAACCUUUAGAAAUCAAAACAAAUCAAGAAACAAGAAAAAAAUCAAAAGCUCAAAUUAAUUUGAAGAAA